UACGGAGGGGGCGAGCGUUAUUCGGAAUUAUUGGGCGUAAAGGGCGCGUAGGCGGCUUGAUGUGUCAAAGGUGAAAUCCCUCGGCUCAACUGAGGAACUGCCUUUGAAACUGUCUGGCUUGAGGCCGGGAGAGGGUAGCGGAAUUCCCAGUGUAGCGGUGAAAUGCGUAGAUACUGGGAGGAACACCGGUGGCGAAGGCGGCUACCUGAACCGGUUCUGACGCUGAUGCGCGAAAGCGUGGGUAGCAAACAGG
RNAcentral lists this ribosomal RNA (253 nucleotides) under uncultured bacterium. RNAcentral's name for it is "partial 16S ribosomal RNA". It matches the Rfam family "Bacterial small subunit ribosomal RNA", at positions 524 to 776 of the family's 1533-position model. The record is from RNAcentral.